RNAcentral lists this ribosomal RNA (682 nucleotides) under uncultured bacterium. RNAcentral describes it as "bacterial SSU rRNA". It matches the Rfam family "Bacterial small subunit ribosomal RNA", at positions 68 to 763 of the family's 1533-position model. The record is from RNAcentral.
GAGUACGGCCCUUGCUUGCAAGGGUGUCAGCUAAGUGGCGCACGGGUGAGUAAUGUAUAGUUGAUCUGCCCCUUGGAGGGGGAUAGCCAUUGGAAACGAUGAUUAAUACCCCAUACUCCUAUAUGCGUAAGGUAUAUAGGGAAAUGUCUUUUCGCCAAGGGAUGAGACUAUAUGGCAUCAGGUAGUUGGUAGGGUAAUGGCCUACCAAGCCAAUGACGCCUAGCUGGUCUGAGAGGAUGAUCAGCCACACUGGUACUGAGACACGGACCAGACUCCUACGGGAGGCAGCAGUGGGGAAUAUUGCACAAUGGAGGAAACUCUGAUGCAGCAACGCCGCGUGGAGGAUGACGCAUUUCGGUGUGUAAACUCCUUUUAACUAGGAAGAUAAUGACGGUACUAGUUGAAUAAGCACCGGCUAACUCCGUGCCAGCAGCCGCGGUAAUACGGAGGGUGCAAGCGUUACUCGGAAUCACUGGGCGUAAAGCGCGCGCAGGCGGUUUGAUAAGUUGGAUGUGAAAUCCUAUGGCUCAACCAUAGAACUGCAUCCAAAACUGUCAAACUAGAGUCUGGGAGAGGAAGAUGGAAUUAGUUGUGUAGGGGUAAAAUCCGUAGAGAUAACUAGGAAUACCAAAAGCGAAGGCGAUCUUCUGGAACAGUACUGACGCUGAGGCGCGAAAGCGUG